This 483-nucleotide ribosomal RNA is filed under the name Pontastacus leptodactylus (narrow-clawed crayfish). RNAcentral's name for it is "Astacus leptodactylus (narrow-clawed crayfish) partial 16S ribosomal RNA". It matches the Rfam family "Bacterial large subunit ribosomal RNA", at positions 1857 to 2602 of the family's 2925-position model. The record is from RNAcentral. Lineage: Eukaryota; Metazoa; Arthropoda; Malacostraca; Decapoda; Astacidae.
ACCUGCCCAUUGGAAUCUAAAAGGCCGCGGUAUUAUGACCGUGCUAAGGUAGCAUAAUCAUUAGUCUUUUAAUUGGAGGCUGGUAUGAAUGGUUGGACAAGAAAUAAGCUGUCUUAAAUAAAAAUAUUGAAUUUAACUUUUAAGUGAAAAGGCUUAAAUUUUCUAAGGGGACGAUAAGACCCUAUAAAACUUUAUAUUUUAAAAUAAUAAUUAAUUUUUAUAUAGAAGAUUUAUUUUUAAAUAUUUUAUUGGGGUGAUAAAGAUAAAAUGUGAGAUAACUGUCUUUUUUUUUUUACAAUUAAUAUUUGAGUAAAAGAUCUUAACAAAGGAAAUAAGAGAUUAAGUUACUUUAGGGAUAACAGCGUAAUUUUCUUUAAGAGUUCUUAUCGACAAGAAAGUUUGCGACCUCGAUGUUGAAUUAAAAGUUCUUUAUAGAGUAAAUACUAUAAUAGAGGGUCUGUUCGACCCUUAAAAUUUUACGUG